UACGUAGGGUGCGAGCGUUGUCCGGAAUUAUUGGGCGUAAAGAGCUCGUAGGCGGCUCGUUGCGUCGGCUGUGAAAACCCGCAGCUCAACUGUGGGCUUGCAGCCGAUACGGGCGGGCUGGAGUUCGGUAGGGGAGACUGGAAUUCCUGGUGUAGCGGUGAAAUGCGCAGAUAUCAGGAGGAACACCGGUGGCGAAGGCGGGUCUCUGGGCCGAUACUGACGCUGAGGAGCGAAAGCCAGGGGAGCGAACGGG
RNAcentral lists this ribosomal RNA (253 nucleotides) under uncultured bacterium. RNAcentral describes it as "partial 16S ribosomal RNA". It matches the Rfam family "Bacterial small subunit ribosomal RNA", at positions 524 to 776 of the family's 1533-position model. The record is from RNAcentral.